RNAcentral lists this ribosomal RNA (433 nucleotides) under uncultured bacterium. RNAcentral's name for it is "partial 16S ribosomal RNA". It matches the Rfam family "Bacterial small subunit ribosomal RNA", at positions 29 to 507 of the family's 1533-position model. The record is from RNAcentral.
GCGAACGCUGGCGGCCGGCCUCACCCCUGCCAGUCGAACGAACCUUUCGGGGUUAGUGGCGGACGGGUGAGUCACACGUGGGAACGUGCCUUUAGGUUCGGAAUAACUCAGGGAAACUUGUGCUAAUACCGAAUGUGCCCUUCGGGGGAAAGAUUUAUCGCCUUUAGAGCGGCCCGCGUCUGAUUAGCUAGUUGGUUGAGGUAAUGGCUCACCAAGGCGACGAUCAGUAGCUGGUCUGAGAGGAUGAUCAGCCACAUUGGGACUGAGACACGGCCCAAACUCCUACGGGAGGCAGCAGUGGGGAAUCUUGCGCAAUGGGCGAAAGCCUGACGCAGCCAUGCCGCGUGAAUGAUGAAGGUCUUAGGAUUGUAAAAUUCUUUCACCGGGGACGAUAAUGACGGUACCCGGAGAAGAAGCCCCGGCUAACUUCGUG